Molecule: ribosomal RNA, 491 nt
Filed under: uncultured bacterium
Lineage: Bacteria
Description: partial 16S ribosomal RNA
Rfam family: Bacterial small subunit ribosomal RNA
Source: RNAcentral
GAUGAACGCUGGCUACAGGCUUAACACAUGCAAGUCGAGGGGAAACGACGGGGAAGCUUGCUUCCCCGGGCGUCGACCGGCGCACGGGUGAGUAACGCGUAUCCAACCUGCCUCUGACUGAGGGAUAACCCGUCGAAAGUCGGCCUAAUACCUCAUGGCAUCGUCUGCGGGCAUCCAACGACGAUUAAAGAUUUCAUCGGUCAGAGAUGGGGAUGCGUCUGAUUAGCUUGUUGGCGGGGUAACGGCCCACCAAGGCGACGUUCAGUAGGGGUUCUGAGAGGAAGGUCCCCCACAUUGGAACUGAGACACGGUCCAAACUCCUACGGGAGGCAGCAGUGAGGAAUAUUGAUCAAUGGGCGAGAGCCUGAACCAGCCAAGUAGCGUGCAGGAUGACGGCCCUAUGGGUUGUAAACUGCUUUUAUGCGGGGAUAAAGUGAGGGACGUGUCCUUCAUUGCAGGUACCGCAUGAAUAAGGACCGGCUAAUUCCGUG